AGUGAACGCUGGCGGUAGGCCUAACACAUGCAAGUCGAACGGCAGCACAGUAAGAGCUUGCUCUUACGGGUGGCGAGUGGCGGACGGGUGAGGAAUACAUCGGAAUCUACUUUUUCGUGGGGGAUAACGUAGGGAAACUUACGCUAAUACCGCAUACGACCUACGGGUGAAAGCAGGGGAUCUUCGGACCUUGCGCGAUUGAAUGAGCCGAUGUCGGCUUAGCUAGUUGGCGGGGUAAAGGCCCACCAAGGCGACGAUCCGUAGCUGGUCUGAGAGGAUGAUCAGCCACACUGGAACUGAGACACGGUCCAGACUCCUACGGGAGGCAGCAGUGGGGAAUAUUGGACAAUGGGCGCAAGCCUGAUCCAGCCAUGCCGCGUGGGUGAAGAAGGCCUUCGGGUUGUAAAGCCCUUUUGUUGGGAAAGAAAAGCAGCAGGUUAAUACCCCGCUGUUCUGACGGUACCCAAAGAAUAAGCACCGGCUAACUUCGUG
Molecule: ribosomal RNA, 492 nt
Filed under: uncultured bacterium
Lineage: Bacteria
Description: partial 16S ribosomal RNA
Rfam family: Bacterial small subunit ribosomal RNA
Source: RNAcentral